UACGAAGGGGGCGAGCGUUGUUCGGAAUUACUGGGCGUAAAGCGCACGCAGGCGGAUUUAUAAGUCAGGGGUGAAAUCCCGGGGCUCAACCUCGGAAUUGCCCUUGAUACUGUCUAUCUUGAGUCCGGGAGAGGUGAGUUGAAUUCCUAGUGUAGAGGUGAAAUUCGUAGAUAUUAGGAAGAACACCAGUGGCGAAGGCGGCUCACUGGCCCGGUACUGACGCUCAUGUGCGAAAGCGUGGGGAGCAAACAGG
RNAcentral lists this ribosomal RNA (253 nucleotides) under uncultured bacterium. Its description in RNAcentral is "partial 16S ribosomal RNA". It matches the Rfam family "Bacterial small subunit ribosomal RNA", at positions 524 to 776 of the family's 1533-position model. The record is from RNAcentral.